Molecule: unclassified non-coding RNA, 375 nt
Filed under: uncultured bacterium
Lineage: Bacteria
Description: contains 16S-23S intergenic spacer region
Source: RNAcentral
UCUCCGCUUGCGCGGGCAGUCUUUCUAGAGUUCCCACCAUUACGUGCUGGCAACUAACCACAGGGGUUGCGCUCGUUAUAGGACUUAACCUGACACCUCACGGCACGAGCUGACGGCAACCAUGCAGCACCUUGUAACUUGCCCGAAGGAAAAGGUGUUUCCACCCCUGUCAAGCUACAUUUAAGCCCUGGUAAGGUUCCUCGCGUAUCAUCGAAUUAAACCACAUGCUCCACCGCUUGUGCAGGCCCCCGUCAAUUUCUUUGAGUUUUAACCUUGCGGCCGUACUCCCCAGGCGGAUGACUUAACGCGUUAGCUGCGCCACCGAAACGCUAAGCGCCCCGACAGCUAGUCAUCAUCGUUUACGGCGUGGACUAC